UGGAAAGCGCCUGGCAGUCCUCUCAUGUC
Molecule: non-coding RNA, 29 nt
Filed under: Mus musculus (house mouse)
Lineage: Eukaryota; Metazoa; Chordata; Mammalia; Rodentia; Muridae
Source: RNAcentral